RNAcentral lists this ribosomal RNA (707 nucleotides) under Salmonella enterica subsp. enterica serovar Tamale. Its description in RNAcentral is "partial 23S ribosomal RNA". It matches the Rfam family "Bacterial large subunit ribosomal RNA", at positions 711 to 1333 of the family's 2925-position model. Lineage: Bacteria; Pseudomonadati; Pseudomonadota; Gammaproteobacteria; Enterobacterales; Enterobacteriaceae. The record is from RNAcentral.
AGACCCGAAACCCGGUGAUCUAGCCAUGGGCAGGUUGAAGGUUGGGUAACACUAACUGGAGGACCGAACCGACUAAUGUUGAAAAAUUAGCGGAUGACCUGUGGCUGGGGGUGAAAGGCCAAUCAAACCGGGAGAUAGCUGGUUCUCCCCGAAAGCUAUUUAGGUAGCGCCUCGUGAAUUCAUCUCCGGGGGUAGAGCACUGUUUCGGCUAGGGGGCCAUCCCGGCUUACCAACCCGAUGCAAACUGCGAAUACCGGAGAAUGUUAUCACGGGAGACACACGGCGGGUGCUAACGUCCGUCGUGAAGAGGGAAACAACCCAGACCGCCAGCUAAGGUCCCAAAGUCAUGGUUAAGUGGGAAACGAUGUGGGAAGGCCCAGACAGCCAGGAUGUUGGCUUAGAAGCAGCCAUCAUUUAAAGAAAGCGUAAUAGCUCACUGGUCGAGUCGGCCUGCGCGGAAGAUGUAACGGGGCUAAACCAUGCACCGAAGCUGCGGCAGCGAACGUAUCACUUAAAGCGAUUCAGCGGGUUACGAUUGACGGAGCGAAGCGACGUCAAAGCGUAUACAAAGUCGAGUCGGUUUAAGGAUACGUUCGUUGGGUAGGGGAGCGUUCUGUAAGCCUGUGAAGGUGGCCUGUGAGGGUUGCUGGAGGUAUCAGAAGUGCGAAUGCUGACAUAAGUAACGAUAAAGCGGGUGAAAAGCCCGC